RNAcentral lists this ribosomal RNA (463 nucleotides) under uncultured bacterium. Its description in RNAcentral is "partial 16S ribosomal RNA". The record is from RNAcentral.
GACUACCGGGGUAUCUAAUCCCAUUUGCUCCCCACGCUUUCAAGCCUCAGCGUCAGUUAUAUCCUAGGCACUCGCCUUAGCCUCUGGUGUUCCUCAAUAUAUCUACGCAUUCCACCGCUACACAUUGAAUUCCAGUACCCCCUGAUUAACUCUAGGGAGGCGAUCUCCAAUGCACACAUUUGUUAAGCAAAUGCUUUUAACAAUGGAUCAACCUCCCCGCCUACGCUUCCUUUACGCCCAAUAAAUCCGGAUAAUGCUCGUGACCUAUGUUUUACCGCAGCUGCUGGCACAUAGUUAGCUGUCACUUAUUCAAUUAGUACCAUCAAGGCGCGCUCAUUUCCUAGCACGCUUUUUUUCCUAAAUAAAAGAACUUUACAAUCAGAAGACCUUCAUCGUUCACGUGGUAUUGCUCCAUCAGACUUUCGUCCAUUGUGAAAAAUUCCUCACUGCAGCCGCCCGUAGG